UUGACAUUUAGUGCUUAUUAAUUUUGGAAACGAUUAUAUAUUUUUGUUAAAGAUUAUUAUCUUUUCAGUUUGUUUUUCAUCGAUUGUUAAGUUAUAAGUUCAAUAAUUAGUUCUUAUUAAUCGAUGUUUACAUUUAUAUUCACAGAUCAGAUUUAUAUUCAUGUAAUCUGAGAUCAAAACCAUGAGAAACCAUUGGUGUUGAGCACAAUCCAACAUGGAAGAAGCUGAUUAGUACCUUGAGCUUGUCUUGCAGCACUCUGUGAAGCUCAUUGGAUGAUUGGGAAAUACGCUUGUGUUUCUGUUUUAAUACACAAUAAUGUGUUCAUCAAUUCUGAGACGCUUCUGGUAGGAAGAGACACUUUUCUGAAAGCCUCUGAACUGUGUUUGGUGCUAUUGCAGCGUUAGCUUUCACAUGCUAACAGCCUAAGUGUGUUUGAUUCAGCAAUAGUUUUUGAUAGCUGUGUAUAUUAGUGUUUGCAUGUUAGAAAUCUGCUUUUGCCUGGUUGUUUCUCAGGGACGUUAAAACACAUUAAGCUUUUGUUCUUAUAGUGGACGUCAAUGGAAAACAAUGUGGUGUUGUUCACUUCAUCUGUGGAUUGAGGCUCGCUCUUUACUGUGUUUACUGUUAAUUACAGGUAAAGUUGGACAGAAAUGUGGGUUUCUCUGGUUGUUUAGGUACAUUAAGACACAUGAAGUGUUUUAUAAUGUCUCCUUUAAAUGAGUUAAAUGAUUUAGCUUGGGUUUGUUUCUUGAUUUCAGUUGUGUUCAUUGGUUUAUAGUAAUAUGUUGUGUGAUUUGUGUUUGUGUAUUGCUUAUUAAGCUGGACUUCUGAUAUAAACACUGAUGUGAAGCUAAUAAAUCCUCAAUAAAGUGCUUCAGUGACCCUACAUUACAUCUCUAGAUUGUCUUUAGUUUAAUUUCAGUGGUUUGUGUUUCUCUUUCUGAUCAUUAUGUUGUGUCUAUUUGAGGGACUUUUAUUUUGACACUUCCUGUAGGCCCCAUAUAAAGAGGAAGGCCUGUGUGAUUCUGGAGGGAAACACUGUUUGGACUGGAGGACUAGCUGUGUUUGUGAGCUGUUUCUGGACAUCUUUGACUCUUUCUCUUAGACUCUAUUGAUGGACGAUUCUGUCAUGGAUUUGAAUGGGAAUAUUGGGGCUUUUGAUCAUGUUUGGGUUAUUUUUGGACACAUUCUUCAUUGGUGUUUGAGUAAACUAAUCUCCUCAGGCUCUUCACUGGACGUCUUGAUGAAGGAUUAUUGAUCAACUCAACUGGACAAUCAGAAAGGGAAAAGUCUUUCUAAAGCACAUGAGAUGAAUGGCAUUGCCAGAAUAAAUCCACUAGAGGCUCUGGGUGUUGCUUACAGAAGGAACAGUGUGUGUCCAUCUAAUCUUCUCUGUGUUUUACUAAGGAAGUCUUCACUGGAUAUGUACCAUGAUCAUUCACCCUCGGGUUGCUGACGUACAAAAUACUAACAUCAGAUACACGUUUCUACACCUUAGAGAGUGUUUUAAUGCUGUUAUUUGCUCUUUUGUGUCGUCUGCAUCAAAUGAAAUGUUUAAAAGUGAUUUAAUCUACAUUUUAAAGUAUAUUAAUAGAAGUAAAGUGUCUGUAAAUGUUUCAGAUAAGCUGUAUUAAUAAAAUGUGUGAAGUGUUGAUGAUAA
Molecule: long non-coding RNA, 1661 nt
Organism: Danio aesculapii
Lineage: Eukaryota; Metazoa; Chordata; Actinopteri; Cypriniformes; Danionidae
Exons: 2
Source: RefSeq, a predicted model, not a curated record